GGUUAGUGGAGGCAGGUAGUCUAAUGGUUAGAGGAGGCAGGUAGUCUAGUGGUUAGAGGAGGAAUGUAGUCUAGUGGUUAGAGGAGGCAGGUAACCUAGUGGUUAGAGGAGGCAGGUAGUUUAGUGGUUAGAGGAGGCAGGUAGUCUAGUGGUUAGAGGAGGCAGGUAGCCUAGUGGUUAAAGGAGGCAGGUCGUCUAGUGGUUAGAGGAGGCAGGUAGUCUAGUGGUUAGAGGAGGCAGGUAGUCUAGUGGUUAGAGGAGGCAGGUAGCCUAGUGGUUAGAGGAGGCAGGUAGUCUAGUGGUU
Long non-coding RNA from Oncorhynchus tshawytscha (Chinook salmon), 304 nucleotides. NCBI's taxonomy places the organism in Eukaryota, Metazoa, Chordata, Actinopteri, Salmoniformes, Salmonidae. The record is from Ensembl.